CUCCCUCACACAGUGAUGCAAUGGUGCCGGCUGCCUUGUGGUGGGUUGGGGUCCCCCCCUCGCUAACACAGUCACAGCCAUGAAUACCAGCCAAAACCACACACACAUACACACACACACUCCACAGCUUAGUCAAGCUGCUCAAGCCCUGGGCUUCUUGGCUCUGUCUAUAUUUGUGUAUCAGCACUAUUCUGGGCUGAUUGAAUACUGAAUAAUCAAAAAAGCCAAAAAUCAGGAGCUAAACAAAUCAACCUUGCGCUCGGUUUAAACAGAAUUUUCAAAUUCUCCUUCAUGAGCUCCAUUGGCAUCGUUACUAUGCUGCACCGUGUCCACGUACAACCCAAGCGCACACUAAAUACAAUGAAGUAAAGAAGAAAACCACACCCCAUUGGAAGCAGGAGCACUACCCAGUCACUAGGAUCAUGGCCACACCCACCUCACCAGCACCACUCAACACCACGCUCCAAAAUAUGACGUAAUCUUGGCAAACCUUACCCUACUUCACACCGCACAAGAACCUUCCAAGAACCCUUCAGAGUCGUGAUCAUCUCCGAGAACUUCUCGGAUCAGCCUCGAGAACACUUUUGUCCGUAGUAGUAAACAUGUUACCAUGACGACGCAAUCAAGGAAACACCUUAAAAGAUCUAACCAAUAGCACUAACAAACUCAAGAGGUUAUAGGUCGUAGAAACCGUGACUGGACUCAUGAGCAUGAACGCACUUCUGUGCUAGAGAGCUCUUAGCAUGUGUGUGAAGGAUGCCCCAGUCUUUUUUUUCCCUCUCGGAUUUCCCCCUUUAUUCUGUCUACUGUCCGUCUCUCAGUUACUGACUAUAGACUAUACCAUAGUGUACAUGCUAUCUUUUUUCCUUUUUUAAAAUUUUUUAAUUUGAUAUUAUCCACAUAAAUUGACAUUUCCCUACAUGUUCUUUACAUUUAUUUUUUAAAUGCACAUUUUUUUUACAAUACAGAAAAAAAUAUCCCAAAUUUACAUUUGACCAAAUGUACAUUUUUUCACUGACUUUUUUUGUACAUUAUUUUUUAUUUGCAUUCCCCUUCCCUAGAUUUACAUUGUUUCCUACAUAUUUUAUCAAAAAUGUCCAGAUUUAAUUUUUACAUUACCCCUUUCCCAUUUUACAUUUUCUUUACAUUUAUUUCCUAAAUGGAUAUUUUUCUCUACAUUUCCCUUACUAUUUUCCCCAUUUGACAUUUUUACAACAUUAAAAAAAAUCCCUUUCCAAAUUUACCCACAAACAUUUGCAUAAAUUUAUUUUUGUUUUCUCCAGCAUAUUUUUUUUAAAUAUCCCUCUUCUACCAAAUGUACAUUUUCCCCAUAAUUCUUUCCCAAAUUAAUUAUUUCCCCCCAAUUUUUUGGAGGACAUUUCCCCCCAUUAUUGCUCUAUUUUCCCCUAAAUGUACAAUUUUUCAAACUUUUUUCCCCCACGUUUGCUUUUACAUUUCCCCGGAAAGGUAAUUUUUUUAAAAAAUAAUUUUUUUCCCCAAAUUCAGAUAUUUUCCCCUAAAAAAGGUAAUAAAUUAGAGGAUGAUGGGAACGCCCUAAACUUGUUGCAGGUAGAGCUGCGCACCAACGGGUUCCCUCACCAAUGACGUCAAUCUUUAGUCUCAUGAUGGUGAAACGUUUAUGGUGGGGUGUCUCAGGUGAAGUGAAGGAGACAAGAGGACCAAAAUGACUGAUUAGCUCUGGUUGAAUAUCAGUAUCGUUUACAAUGGAAAGGAAUUGGCAUGUAGUGAUGCUAACUCUCUCUCUCUCUCUCUCUCUCUCUCUCUCUCUCUCUCUCUCUCUCUCUCUCUCUAUCCCCCUUUUUCUGUCUCUGUUUUCACUCUUCAGAGGACAGGAUGGGAUUGGCGAGGAGAACCUGCUGGUUUCCAGCCGGCUCUGUGUGCAUCACCCCUCCCUCCAUCCCCUGUAGGUGUUAUAAAGAGAGCGGGAUCUCAGUGUAAUCUGUCCGGACUAAUUUAGCUCCUGUCAGUCUACACGCGCAGCAUGGGUAUUCUGUCUCACACACCUGUAUGUGCACACACACACACACACACACACACACACACAUUUUGCUCCCACAUAUACUAGCGGGAAAAGGACAUGGAAUCCUGUUUCAGUGUGGAAAAUCCGAUUUCUUUCCUUUAAGAUUGAUUAAGCCGGAUUCGUGAGCUGCAUUAGAGUACCUUUCAGGAAAAGUUGUGUUAUCUGUCACAUAGAAAAUGUGUAACAUUUAAAACCCGAAAGAAAGGGGGAAAAAAAGCGCAAGAACAAAGACGCGCGAUCUGGUCUGAAAGAAAAACCAGCAGCGUUAACGAAGGGAAAAGACGCAGGCUGGACGUAAAUAAAGACGAUAGCGGAUAUUUACAUGUUCUGUAUAUGAGCGUUUGGUAUCGUACUGACGAGUCCGUUACAGGUUGAGGUCUCACUGCACAAUUCAUGCAAGAGAUACCAUCCUGUUUUGGGAUAGGGGGUUGAAAGAAAUGCGAAGAAUUGAUCGAAUCCAAAAUUUAAAGAUCCUAAAAUCCAGUUAAGAUGUUUGAUUUUUUUUUAAGUGUGUGUGUGUGUGUGUGUGUGGUGUGGUGUGUGUGUGUGUGUGUGCUAAGUUUGAAGGGAAAGGUUAAAGCGUCAGGUUCUCAGAGUGUGGAAGCGUGCAGCAUCGUACCUCUUUCAGCGCAGACCCAGAACCGUGUCCUAAUUUAGCACCGUAUCUAUUUCUGUCCGAGCCUUGGGGGAAUACCUACAUUUGUCAAAGGGAGUGUGUGUGUGUGUGUGGGUGAGCAUGGCAUGGAUGCCGAAUACGAGGAGAUACUCUACUAAGUGUAGUCGUUAGUUGCUUUCGGUCAACGCAGUGGCACACUUACUCUAACCAAGAGUCUAGCAUCCCAACAAACACACACACACACACACACACACACACACACACACACACACACACACACACACACACACACAUUUCAAUAUAACUCAACACAAAAUUCUUCCCCAAAGCUCCUCCACCAAGAUAUAAAAAUGACUCAAGCUUUCCAAACAAAGACAAAACAACACUAAAGCAAAAACCCACACCUUAAAUGUCAUUGCAAAAAAAAAAAAGAUAGAUAGAUAGAUAGAUCUGUGUCUGGAGUUCACGUUUAUGGAAGAAGGGGCGUGUAGGAUGCGUUCAGCUGCACUCACCUCAACCUCGCUCUCUGUCCUUGCCGGCGCUGUGAAAAGGAUUGGCUCUGAGCAGCCGAGCUACUGCACACUGAGACAAUGGAGCAGAGAGAGAGAUAGAGAGAGGGAGAGAGAGAGAGAGAGAGAGAGAGAGAGAUGGGGAGGGGAGGAGAAUGAAGGAGAGUGAAGGAGCGAAGGAGUGAGAGAAGGAGGGGUGCACAAGGAGAGGGUCUGAAGUAGACGGCCAAUCAGUGCAGAAAUCAGCACGGGCUAUCUGACGAAAUGCCUGUGGAUUAGCGAUGUGCGGCUUUCAGAAGAAGAAGAAGGGAAAAAAUGUGGCGAGCGGAGAGAAAGAGAGAGCGAGAGAGAGAGAAGGGCCUUGGUGAAUAAAUGAGAAAAGGGUGGGGGGGGGGGGGGGGUACAAGGUGCCAAGUUCUUUCUUUUCUGGAUUGCAAAGUGUAAUCAAAGGUCAAGGGGUGCAGCUUGAGUUGCUUCCUUAAAAUGUAAAAAUGUUAAAUAUAUCUGGAGUGGCGAGAUGGAAAGAAGUCUACGAUCACUCUUUGAGUCUCAUUCUCACGGGAUGGCGAGGAUAGCAUCUCGUACUUGCUCCGGAAUCUUGACUCGGCCCUCCCUCUUUCCCUCCCUCUUUCCCUGAGCCCACCGUUCUCUCUCCUUUAAUCUCCUCAGGGGUCCCACUUUCUCUCUCCGUAUCCCGUAUAUCGGCUCUGGAUCAUCAAGCGCUACGUCUUGGGUGGUUCAACAACCCCCUCUCCCCCCCCAGCAUCACACCUCUCCACCCCUCCACACCACCUCUUUAUGCCCACAGAUAAUACAAGGAUUGAGGGGGAAAAAAUGCCACUUCCCGCAAAAAAACAAAACAAAACAAACCCUGCACCAGGUGUUCCGUACAGAUUGGCCACUCGUCUGGAUCGGGAAGGGCGCGGGCAAUCUCCAGCUCCAAUUAUUUUGGCCUCAAAAGCCGAAAAAGAGGACAAGGGUCUGACUCAAAAAGGCCUUUUGGUGUGGUAAGGAAUGAAACGGAAAGAAAAGUGCUUUUCAGAGUCGCCGAAGUCCUGAGAAUUCUACACAAUUAGACCGAAAAUGUCCCAAACUGUGCCUCUGAGAGCGAGAGCGAGAGCGAGGGAGGGGAGAGCGGGAGGGAGGGAGCCAGAGGAUCAGAGAUUGUUAAGGCCGAAAAAUCGACUGUACAAGUUUGUACGAAAGAUAGUUUUGCACCCCGAGAUGAAGAAAAAAAAGCGAGGAUGGAUUGGUUUUCUUUCAGCAGCUGCCCCGUUCGGUGUGGGUCUUUUCUUCUUUUUGGCGUUUUGUUCUCGCACGGAGAGCUCUUGCCGGGACGAUCCAUCACACGGACAGGAAGAACGAGUGCGGUGCGCUGAGUCGCGGCAGGUGCUGCAUCCGUCUCUCUCUUCCUCGGCCGGACAAAGCUCUCCCCCCUGCUCCCUCUCCUCUUUUCUCCAUCCUCUCCUCUCACGGCUCUCCGGCUGCUCAUUUACUCUUCCUUGGCCGUGACAAAAAAACAAGUGGGAUAGCGUUGUGUGGGAUAGAGAGAGAGAAAGACACGUGGAGAGAAAAUAAAUGUAGAAACAAAAACAGGAGGAGGGUGACAAAAAUGAGAUGGAGGGGGAAAGAUGAAUGGAUUCAUAUAGAAGUGAGUCGUCUGAGGGAGGAAGGGAGGGAAAGAGGGAGGGAAUGAGGGAACGAGGGAGGAUGUAAGCGAGUUCUCUUGUCCCACACACACUCCCCCAUGCCUGGGAAAAAAGUGUGGGAGAGAUGAAGUGGCGGAGGUGGCGGUGAUUCAGCCGACAGCCUCUCCCAUCCUCUUCGCUCUGUGCGCCUGAAGAAGGGAACCAGCUCAUGCACACCAAGCCUCCUCUCUCCUCUCCUCUCCUCUACUCCCCUCCCUCUUCUCCUCCCUUUCCCCAUCUCUCUAUCUCUUUCUUUCUUUCUCUCUCGCUAUUUUUCUCCCGCACACGUUCAGUUCAUUACAAUUCACUGGUUCUUACCGUGACACGCUUCACUAACCCACUCAGUGAGCCUAGGCAAAG
Molecule: long non-coding RNA, 5214 nt
Organism: Ictalurus punctatus (channel catfish)
Lineage: Eukaryota; Metazoa; Chordata; Actinopteri; Siluriformes; Ictaluridae
Source: Ensembl